AGUGGGGAAUAUUGGACAAUGGGGGCAACCCUGAUCCAGCAAUGCCGCGUGUGUGAAGAAGGCCUGAGGGUUGUAAAGCACUUUCAAUUGGGAGGAAAACCUGGCGGUUAAUACCCGUCAGCUUGACAUUACCUUUAGAAGAAGCACCGGCUAACUCCGUGCCAGCAGCCGCGGUAAUACGGAGGGUGCGAGCGUUAAUCGGAAUUACUGGGCGUAAAGCGUACGUAGGUGGUUGUCUAAGUCAGAUGUGAAAGCCCCGGGCUUAACCUGGGAACUGCAUUUGAUACUGGGCGACUAGAGUUUAGUAGAGGGGAGUGGAAUUUCCGGUGUAGCGGUGAAAUGCGUAGAGAUCGGAAGGAACACCAGUGGCGAAGGCGACUCCCUGGACUAAAACUGACGCUGAGGUACGAAAGCGUGGGUAGCAAACAGGAUUAGAUACCCUGGUAGUCCACGCCGUAAACGAUGUCAACUAGCCGUUGGGCCUAUAUACAGGUUUAGUGGCGCAGCUAACGCAUUAAGUUGACCGCCUGGGGAGUACGGCCGCAAGGUUAAAACUCAAAUGAAUUGACGGGGGCCCGCACAAGCGGUGGAGCAUGUGGUUUAAUUCGAUGCAACGCGAAGAACCUUACCUACCCUUGACAUCCUCGGAACUUGUCAGAGAUGACUUGGUGCCUUCGGGAACCGAGAGACAGGUGCUGCAUGGCUGUCGUCAGCUCGUGUCGUGAGAUGUUGGGUUAAGUCCCGUAACGAGCGCAACCCUUAUCCUUAGUUGCCAACAGUUCGGCUGGGAACUCUAAGGAGACUGCCGGUGAUAAACCGGAGGAAGGUGGGGACGACGUCAAGUCAUCAUGGCCCUUAUGGGUAGGGCUACACACGUGCUACAAUGGCCAGUACAGAGGGCAGCGACCUCGCGAGAGCAAGCAAAUCCCAGAAAGCUGGUCCUAGUCCGGAUUGCAGUCUGCAACUCGACUGCAUGAAGUCGGAAUCGCUAGUAAUCGCGAAUCAGAAUGUCGCGGUGAAUACGUUCCCGGGCCUUGUACACACCGCCCGUCACACCAUGGGAGUGGGUUGCAAAAGAAGUGGGUAGUCUAACCUUCGGGAGGGCGCUCACCACUUUGUGAUUCAUGACUGGGGUG
RNAcentral lists this ribosomal RNA (1136 nucleotides) under uncultured bacterium. Its description in RNAcentral is "bacterial SSU rRNA". It matches the Rfam family "Bacterial small subunit ribosomal RNA", at positions 353 to 1482 of the family's 1533-position model. The record is from RNAcentral.